RNAcentral lists this ribosomal RNA (450 nucleotides) under uncultured Glomeromycotina. Its description in RNAcentral is "SSU rRNA". It matches the Rfam family "Eukaryotic small subunit ribosomal RNA", at positions 569 to 1025 of the family's 1831-position model. Lineage: Eukaryota; Fungi; Glomeromycota. The record is from RNAcentral.
AGCAGCCGCGGUAAUUCCAGUUCCAAUAGCGUAUAUUAAAGUUGUUGCAGUUAAAAAGCUCGUAGUUGAAUUUCGGGAUCAAUAUGUUGGUCGUGCCUUGGUACGUACUGGCAUUAUCGAUUCCUACCUUCUGAAGAACCUCGAUGUCAUUAAUUUGGUGUCUUGGGGAAUCAGGACUGUUACUUUGAAAAAUUAGAGUGUUUAAAGCAGGCUCGCGCUUGAAUACAUUAGCAUGGAAUAAUGAAAUAGGACGUUUGAUUCUAUUUUGUUGGUUUCUAGGAUCGACGUAAUGAUUAAUAGGGAUAGUUGGGGGCAUUAGUAUUCAAUUGUCAGAGGUGAAAUUCUUGGAUUUAUUGAAGACUAACUACUGCGAAAGCAUUUGCCAAGGAUGUUUCCAUUAAUCAAGAACGAAAGUUAGGGGAUCGAAGACGAUCAGAUACCGUCGUAGUC